GCUUGCUUGGCCGAGCGGUCCAAGGCGUACGCUUCAGGCGCGUAUCCAACAGGGCGUGGGUUCGAACCCCACAGCAAGCA
RNAcentral lists this transfer RNA (80 nucleotides) under Trichomonas vaginalis G3. It matches the Rfam family "tRNA". Rfam says of the family: Transfer RNA (tRNA) molecules are approximately 80 nucleotides in length. Their secondary structure includes four short double-helical elements and three loops (D, anti-codon, and T loops). The record is from Rfam by way of RNAcentral. Lineage: Eukaryota; Parabasalia; Trichomonadida; Trichomonadidae.